RNAcentral lists this ribosomal RNA (1633 nucleotides) under Microplana sp. MOTU37. Its description in RNAcentral is "partial 18S small subunit ribosomal RNA". It matches the Rfam family "Eukaryotic small subunit ribosomal RNA". Lineage: Eukaryota; Metazoa; Platyhelminthes; Tricladida; Geoplanidae. The record is from RNAcentral.
UAUUCUUAAACCGCGGAUGGCUCAUUAUAACAGCUAUUAUUUGAGAGAACUAAACUUUAUUGCCACAAGAUAACUGUGGUAAUUCUAGAGCUAAUAUUUUUAAGAAUGCUGUGACUUCGGAAGCAGCGGAUUUAUUAGAUUAAAACUAACCUGCAGCAANUGCGGUUCAUAAAUGACUCUGGAUAACUUUACUGAUCGAACAACCUUUGUGUUGACGAUGAAUCUCUUGAAAUGGCUGACCUAUCAACUUUCGAUGGUAAGAUCAAAGCUUACCAUGGUUGUAACGGGUAACGGGGAAUCAGUGUUCGAUUCCGGANAGGGAGCCUGANAAACGGCUACCACAUCCACGGAAGGCAGCAGGCGCGUAAAUUACCCAAUACCGGCUCGGUGAGGUAGUGACAAUAAAUAACAAUAUGGGCCCUAGUGGUUUCAUAAUUGCAAUGAGAAUAUUUUAAAUACUUUAUCAAGUAUCAAUUGGAGGGCAAGUCUGGUGCCAGCAGCCGCGGUAAUUCCAGCUCCAAAAGCGUAUAUUAAAGUUGUUGCAGUUAAAAAGCUCGUAGUUGAAAUUGNGGAUUAUAAAUGAAUUGAWUCCUUGAUAGAANUUCAUUUGGUCCUUUCUGUCGUGUAUAUUUUUCAGUUACUUUACUGUAUUUGAUUAAUAACCGACUUGUUUACUUUGAAUAAAUUAGAGUGCUUNAAGCAAGCUUAUGCUUGUAUAGUGUUGCAUGGAAUAAUNAAAUAGGACUUCGGUUUNAUUUNGUUGGUUUNCGAANCUGAAGUAAUGAUUNAAAGAGACUGCCNGGGGCAUAUGUAUGCUGGUGUNAGAGGNGAANUUCUUAGAUCAUCAGCAGACAAACUACUGCGAAAGCANUUGCCAAGAAUGUUUNCAUUANUCAAGAACGNAAGUCAGAGGAUCGAAGAWSAUCAGAUACCGUCCUANUUCUGACCAUAANCUAUGCCAACUGACAGUUASNUAAGGUAUAUUAAUUCCUUGCUAGAAGUCACCGGNNAACCUAAGUCUNUNGGUUCCNGGGGAAGUAUGGUUGCAAAGCUGAAACUUAAAGGAAUUGACGGAAGGGCACCACAAGGAGUGGANCCUGCGGCUUAAUUUGACUCAACACSGGAAMUCUCACCCGGUCCGGACACUGUGAGGAUUGACAGAUUGAUAGNUCUUUCUUGAUUCGGUGGGUGGUGGUGCAUGNCCGUUCUUAGUUGGUGGAGCGAUUUGUCUGGUUAAUUCCGAUAACGAACGAGACUCGACCCUGNNAAAUAGUGUAUCUGUGUUAAAUUGCAGAUGAUCCACUUCUUAGAGGAAUUAAUAGCGUUUAGCUAAAUGAAAAUGAGCAAUAACAGGUCUGUGAUGCCCUUAGAUGUCCGGGGCCGCACGCGGGUUACAAUUUUAUCAGCAACAAGUUUUCCAAGCCAGAGAUGGCAAGGUAAUCUCUUGAAACGAUAAAGUAUCAGGAAUAGUGGUUUGAAAUUUUUCCACUUGAACGAGGAAUUCCUAGUAAGCGCAAGUCACUAACUUGCGCUGAUUACGUCCCUGCCCUUUGUACACACCGCCCGUCGCUACUACCGAUUGAAUGGUUUAGUGAGAUUGUUGGAUUCUAAUUUAAGAAAUGGCAACAUUUCU